Molecule: RNase P RNA, 221 nt
Filed under: Alphaproteobacteria bacterium
Lineage: Bacteria; Pseudomonadati; Pseudomonadota; Alphaproteobacteria
Description: partial RNase P RNA component class A
Rfam family: Bacterial RNase P class A
About the family: Ribonuclease P (RNase P) is a ubiquitous endoribonuclease, found in archaea, bacteria and eukarya as well as chloroplasts and mitochondria. Its best characterised activity is the generation of mature 5'-ends of tRNAs by cleaving the 5'-leader elements of precursor-tRNAs.
Source: RNAcentral
UGAAAGGGUGCGGUAAGAGCGCACCGCGGCCCUGGUAACAGGGCUGGCAGGGUAAACCCCACCGGGAGCAAGACCAAUAGGGAUGGUUGCCUUAAGUGGCAGGCGGGUUUCUGCGCCACCGUCCGGGUCGGUUGCUUGAGCGGCAUGGCAACAUGUCGCCUAGAGGAAUGGUCAUCACCAGUUUACUGGUACAGAACCCGGCUUACACGCCAUCUGCCGCU